RNAcentral lists this ribosomal RNA (326 nucleotides) under uncultured eukaryote. Its description in RNAcentral is "partial 18S ribosomal RNA". It matches the Rfam family "Eukaryotic small subunit ribosomal RNA", at positions 1470 to 1796 of the family's 1831-position model. The record is from RNAcentral.
CCCUUAGACGUUCUGGGCCGCACGCGCGCUACACUGACCAGUGCAACAAGCAUCCGUCCUUGGCCGACAGGCUCGGGCAAUCUUUGAACGCUGGUCGUGAUGGGGAUAGACUUUUGCAAUUUUUGGUCUUCAACGAGGAAUUCCUAGUAAACGCAAGUCAUCAACUUGCAUUGAUUACGUCCCUGCCCUUUGUACACACCGCCCGUCGCACCUACCGAUUGAAUGGUCCGGUGAAAUUCUCGGACGCGGACUUGCGAUGUUAAUUCGGAGCUUGACUGUGAAAGUUAAUUAAACCUUACCAUUUAGAGGAAGGUGAAGUCGUAACA